UCCGUAGGGCGCAAGCGUUAUCCGGAAUUAUUGGGCGUCAAGAGCUCGUAGGCGGUUUGUCGCGUCUGCCGUGAAAGUCCGGGGCUCAACUCCGGAUCUGCGGUGGGUACGGGCAGACUAGAGUGAUGUAGGGGAGACUGGAAUUCCUGGUGUAGCGGUGAAAUGCGCAGAUAUCAGGAGGAACACCGAUGGCGAAGGCAGGUCUCUGGGCAUUAACUGACGCUGAGGAGCGAAAGCAUGGGGAGCGAACAGG
RNAcentral lists this ribosomal RNA (253 nucleotides) under uncultured bacterium. RNAcentral's name for it is "partial 16S ribosomal RNA". It matches the Rfam family "Bacterial small subunit ribosomal RNA", at positions 524 to 776 of the family's 1533-position model. The record is from RNAcentral.